Molecule: ribosomal RNA, 98 nt
Filed under: uncultured bacterium
Lineage: Bacteria
Description: partial 16S ribosomal RNA
Source: RNAcentral
CACCGCCCGUCACCAUCACGAAAGUAGGUUGUACUACGAAGUAGCUGGGCCAACUCGCAAGAGAGGCAGGUUACCACGGUAUGAUUUAUGAUUGGGUG